This 78-nucleotide transfer RNA is filed under the name Micrococcales bacterium 32-70-13. Its description in RNAcentral is "tRNA-Tyr". It matches the Rfam family "tRNA". From Rfam's summary of the family: Transfer RNA (tRNA) molecules are approximately 80 nucleotides in length. Their secondary structure includes four short double-helical elements and three loops (D, anti-codon, and T loops). The record is from RNAcentral. Lineage: Bacteria; Bacillati; Actinomycetota; Actinomycetes; Micrococcales.
GGCGAGUUACCCAAGCGGCCAAAGGGAUCUGACUGUAAAUCAGACUGCUCAGCAUUCGGAAUCCCUCACUCGCCACCA